RNAcentral lists this ribosomal RNA (492 nucleotides) under uncultured bacterium. Its description in RNAcentral is "partial 16S ribosomal RNA". It matches the Rfam family "Bacterial small subunit ribosomal RNA", at positions 29 to 507 of the family's 1533-position model. The record is from RNAcentral.
AGUGAACGCUGGCGGUAGGCCUAACACAUGCAAGUCGAACGGCAGCACAGUAAGAGCUUGCUCUUACGGGUGGCGAGUGGAGGACGGGUGAGGAAUACAUCGGAAUCUACUUUUUCGUGGGGGAUAACGUAGGGAAACUUACGCUAAUACCGCAUACGACCUACGGGUGAAAGCAGGGGAUCUUCGGACCUUGCGCGAUUGAAUGAGCCGAUGUCGGAUUAGCUAGUUGGCGGGGUAAAGGCCCACCAAGGCGACGAUCCGUAGCUGGUCUGAGAGGAUGAUCAGCCACACUGGAACUGAGACACGGUCCAGACCCCUACGGGAGGCAGCAGUGGGGAAUAUUGGACAAUGGGCGCAAGCCUGAUCCAGCCAUACCGCGUGGGUGAAGAAGGCCUUCGGGUUGUAAAGCCCUUUUGUUGGGAAAGAAAAGCAGCAGGUUAAUACCCCGCUGUUCUGACGGUACCCAAAGAAUAAGCACCGGCUAACUUCGUG